RNAcentral lists this ribosomal RNA (497 nucleotides) under uncultured bacterium. Its description in RNAcentral is "partial 16S ribosomal RNA". It matches the Rfam family "Bacterial small subunit ribosomal RNA", at positions 28 to 507 of the family's 1533-position model. The record is from RNAcentral.
GACGAACGCUGGCGGCGUGCCUAAUACAUGCCAGUUGAGCGAUGAAGAUUGGUGCUUGCACCAAUUUGAAGAGCAGCGAACGGGUGAGUAACGCGUGGGGAAUCUGCCUUUGAGCGGGGGACAACAUUUGGAAACGAAUGCUAAUACCGCAUAACAACUUUAAACAUAAGUUUUAAGUUUGAAAGAUGCAAUUGCAUCACUCAAAGAUGAUCCCGCGUUGUAUUAGCUAGUUGGUGAGGUAAAGGCUCACCAAGGCGAUGAUACAUAGCCGACCUGAGAGGGUGAUCGGCCACAUUGGGACUGAGACACGGCCCAAACUCCUACGGGAGGCAGCAGUAGGGAAUCUUCGGCAAUGGACGAAAGUCUGGCCGAGCAACGCCGCGGGAGUGAAGAAGGGUUUCGGAUCGUAAAACUCUGUUGGUAGAGAAGAACGUUGGUGAGAGUGGAAAGCUCAUCAAGUGACGGUAACUACCCAGAAAGGGACGGCUAACUACGUG